This 492-nucleotide ribosomal RNA is filed under the name uncultured bacterium. RNAcentral's name for it is "partial 16S ribosomal RNA". It matches the Rfam family "Bacterial small subunit ribosomal RNA", at positions 29 to 507 of the family's 1533-position model. The record is from RNAcentral.
AGUGAACGCUGGCGGUAGGCCUAACACAUGCAAGUCGAACGGCAGCACAGUAAGAGCUUGCUCUUACGGGUGGCGAGUGGCGGACGGGUGAGGAAUACAUCGGAAUCUACUUUUUCGUGGGGGAUAACGUAGGGAAACUUACGCUAAUACCGCAUACGACCUACGGGUGAAAGCAGGGGAUCUUCGGACCUUGCCCGAUUGAAUGAGCCGAUGUCGGAUUAGCUAGUUGGCGGGGUAAAGGCCCACCAAGGCGACGAUCCGUAGCUGGUCUGAGAGGAUGAUCAGCCACACUGGAACUGAGACACGGUCCAGACUCCUACGGGAGGCAGCAGUAGGGAAUAUUGGACAAUGGGCGCAAGCCUGAUCCAGCAAUACCGCGUGGGUGAAGAAGGCCUUCGGGUUGUAAAGCCCUUUUGUUGGGGAAGAAAAGCAGCAGGUGAAUACCCCGCUGUUCUGACGGUACCCAAAGAAUAAGCACCGGCUAACUUCGUG